UGCCAGCAGCCGCGGUAAUACGAAGGGACCUAGCGUAGUUCGGAAUUACUGGGCUUAAAGAGUUCGUAGGCGGUUCAACAAGUCGGUCGUAAAAGUUUAGGGCUCAACCCUAAAAUGUCGAUCGAUACUGUUGUGACUAGGAUACGGUAGAGGUGAAUGGAAUUCCGAGUGUAGCGGUGAAAUGCGUAGAUAUUCGAAAGAACACCAAAUGCGAAGGCAACUUACUGGGUCACUACUGACACUGAGGAGCGAAAGCAUGGGUAGCGAAGAGGAUUAGAUA
Molecule: ribosomal RNA, 280 nt
Filed under: uncultured bacterium
Lineage: Bacteria
Description: partial 16S ribosomal RNA
Rfam family: Bacterial small subunit ribosomal RNA
Source: RNAcentral